UACGGGGGAUGCAAGCGUUAUCCGGAUUUAUUGGGUUUAAAGGGUGCGUAGGCUGUGAGGUAAGUCAGCGGUGAAAUGCCCCCGCUCAACGAGGUGAAGUGCCAUUGAUACUGCCUUGCUGGAAUGCGGAUGCCGUGGGAGGAAUGUGUGGUGUAGCGGUGAAAUGCAUAGAUAUCACACAGAACACCGAUUGCGAAGGCAUCUCACGAAUCCGCUAUUGACGCUGAUGCACGAAAGCGUGGGUAUCAAACAGG
This 254-nucleotide ribosomal RNA is filed under the name uncultured bacterium. Its description in RNAcentral is "partial 16S ribosomal RNA". It matches the Rfam family "Bacterial small subunit ribosomal RNA", at positions 524 to 776 of the family's 1533-position model. The record is from RNAcentral.